Molecule: long non-coding RNA, 1345 nt
Organism: Papaver somniferum (opium poppy)
Lineage: Eukaryota; Viridiplantae; Streptophyta; Magnoliopsida; Ranunculales; Papaveraceae
Exons: 2
Source: RefSeq, a predicted model, not a curated record
UUCUUUCUUCUUCUUUUUCUUUCUUCAUCUUUCCUCUUCUUCUCAUCUCUUCCUCUGUUCGAAACCAAGAGAUGGUUUUGAGAUACGACUUGAGAGAAUUAAUUGUUGAGCGAGAGCAGAUUAAGUAGAAAAAGAUGAUGUUGUGACUGAUUGAACACGAUAUGAAGAAGAUAAAGAUGAUUCUGUUAAUCUGAGAAGAUCAAAUUAGGGUUUAGAUUUCGUUUUGAGAUUUCGUGGAAUUAAUCAGUAUAUUGAGUUCCUGAUAGUUAAAUAUCGAAUGGGUUGAUGUUUAAUUGGAUCUUUGAAGUUGAAUCAGUGGAUAAUCACUGAAGAGAUUUGUGUUAGGGUUUCAUUUGAGUUGCAAUUUGAAGCUAGGGUUUGUAAGAAGAACUCGGGGAAUGAUUUAGAGAUGAAAUUGAUGUUCUAGGAUGAUGGGUUGAGAUGGGUAACGAUUUAAUUGAUGAUGUAGAGUUGAUUUGAUAAUGGAUUUGAGUAUCUUGGAUUUAGGGUUCUUGAGUUGGGUUGCAGAUGGAAAAUACGAGACUGUUGUUGGAUGAAAUAAGAAGACUUCAGAGUUGGUACAUGAGGGAUGAAUGUAAUGGUUGAUUUGGUGUUGGUAUUGCUUGUGGUGAUGGGUUUGUUUGUGUUGAGUUUGAAUUACAGUUGAGGGUGUAGUGAAUAUGUAUGGAGGAUUUACAGAUGGAAUUGUCAGUGUUGAUGUUCACAGGUACAAGGGGAAUAAAUGGCAGCGAGGCAUAUGUAGUAUGAAUUGCAGAUAGUAAUGAAGCUUUUGUUGUGGAUGUUCUGUAAAGGUGCAGAUGGACUGAGAUGAAGUUGGUGUUGUUAUAUUGCGCAAAGAACUGAGUUACAUGGAUUGUAGAGGUUUGAAUGUGCAGGCAGUGUAAGUAAUGAGAUGAACUUAGAAUGAUUUAUGAGCUGAGGGAAAUGAAGUUAAGGAUGGUGGUGUUGUCCGUGUAGUUGCUAUUACUGAACUGAAAUAGUGAUGUUGGACUGAGUUGAGUUAGAGGUGCAGGUGGUGUUGAAUACGAGAUGGUGUUAUUGAACUGUGGUUGAAUUCUUGGUGGUGAUAGUGACUUGAAAUUGAAUUGAGGGAGUUGUAUUGGGUUGUAGUGAAUUGAAUAAAGGAAUGGUGUUGCGGUGUAAGUCUGAGAAUGUAGUGAAAAUGAAGUAGAGAAUGAAGAUGUAGUUGUGUAUGUAGGGAGAGUAUGGCUUAGCACUGCAUUUGCAGGUAAAGCUUAAAUUCCAGUUGUAUUGAAUUAUAAAGUUCUGUUUAAGUGAACAUUUUGUAUACUGUUUCAUUUUAUAGAAUCAUGCUAGUUGUGCU